Varanus komodoensis (Komodo dragon) is the source of this 1019-nucleotide long non-coding RNA. RefSeq lists it as uncharacterized. The transcript has 2 exons. NCBI's taxonomy places the organism in Eukaryota, Metazoa, Chordata, Lepidosauria, Squamata, Varanidae. The record is from RefSeq and is a predicted model, not a curated record.
GCAUCGUGCAUGUCCUAAAAUGUUUUAAUAUGCUGCAAUAGGAGCCUCCUCCCUCCUUUAAAAGGGAGGCAGCUGAGUGAGCCAUGCAUGAAGUUCAGUUUCUCUCAUGUUCGGGCACAUCGGCAAGCCAUUUGAAGUCCCGGUAAGGAACACGACUCCCUGUUUCUUUCCUAAUGCAAAUGCCAAAUCCUACUUUCUCGGACAAGAAUGAUUUGUGAGGAGUGUUUCCUCUGUGUGUGUGUGUGUUGGUUUUUGCAGUUUCUUUACUGUGCCUUGGACAGCAGUUUGCACUCUUUUGUGUGGGGAUAAAGUAUCCCCAACUGCAGACAGUUAGGUGCUAAUUUUGUGAAUAUAUCGAUGCAGACAAGCAGAUUAUCCAUGGGUUAGAUGGUCAUUCCUCCUUCCAUUUUUGCUUAUUGUUUUUUGGGAUAGGACAUUGCUAGGAUAAUUGUAUCUCUUGUAGACCAAGUUCUUGGAACAGAACCUACACAGUUAAAGAAGGACCAGUGUCAGGGUCAAGAGAGUUGACUGCCAUUAGAACAAAUCAGGCAAUUCCAGCUAGGAACAAGUGGGAGCUGAAUGCCGGUUUGGUUUAGAUGAGAAUUGAGCAAAAUUCACAAAGUUCUCAAAAGUUCCUCAAAAAGAACAUGAGGUUUUUUUUUGAAUUGGUGAGAAGCCAGAACAGAUUCCCCUGGCCAAUAUGAAAUUUGGAAAUACAAUAAAACAGGAAAGCUGGAAGUUCUUCAAUAAGGCAUUUCAAUAAGAGGUACGCUUAUUCUGAAUAUCUAUUUGCAGAUUCUUCUGGUCACAUAAUUGCUUUGUUGGAAGGAGAGCUUAGUGCUCAUACAAUCUUCCUAUCACCAUGAAGGUUCUCCUGGGAUGUUUUCUCUUCUUGGUGCUUCUAACAACAGGGGGUUCGAUACAGUGCGAAGUUUGCGUUGGCAAUGGCAAGACCUGCAGUGGCACAAAUCAGGAUUGUGGUUCCCAGUAUGAUACCUGUGCCACCAUUUUAACAAAAA